Molecule: small nuclear RNA, 148 nt
Organism: Rattus norvegicus (Norway rat)
Lineage: Eukaryota; Metazoa; Chordata; Mammalia; Rodentia; Muridae
Product: U1 spliceosomal RNA
Source: Ensembl
AUAGUCAUCCGACAGGGUAGAUACCAUAAAGGUGGUUUCCCAGGCGAAGACUUAGCACUCAGAUGUGCUGACCCCUGCAAUUUCCCCAAAUUUAGAAAAUUCAACUGUAUACUUUGUGGUAGUGGGAACUUGUUACCCACUGUCCCCU